RNAcentral lists this long non-coding RNA (1436 nucleotides) under Oryza sativa Indica Group (long-grained rice). RNAcentral's name for it is "lncRNA OsMH63_04G031140". The record is from RNAcentral. Lineage: Eukaryota; Viridiplantae; Streptophyta; Magnoliopsida; Poales; Poaceae.
CGCCGCCGCCAAGUCCUCCGCCGGCGUCGUCGGCCGACGUCGCCGCCGCCAACUGCCGCAACCACCCGUCGCCGCCGUUGCCAACUGCCGUCACCAGCUGUCGCAAGUCGACCGCCGUCGCCGACCACCACAGCCGACCACCCUCUAGAUCCGGUCGAGAGGCGCGGAUCUGGGGAGGCACCGCCGUCAUCGCCGCCGAGCACCGCGCCGUCGCCGCACAGGGACCAAUGCCGCUGUCUUCGCGCCGUGCCGGCCUCAAGCCGCGUCUCUCACGCGGGUCCCGCCGCCAACGCUGCGCCCACACAGCCGCCGGUCUCUUUCUUCCCCGCCUCCACACCCGGCUGCACACUGUCGUCGGCAUGCUGGCCAGUCGCCGCCUCGACGGAGGGGAUCCGGCCUCCCACGCCGGAGAGGACAGAUCCGGACUGGGGGGCGCCGGAUCCAGCGAGGAGGUUGCCAGAUCCGGUGACGUCGCGCGCCGCUGGACCCGCCCUGUCCCUGCUGCCAGCUCCACCCCCGUCCUGUCGCCACCGUCGCCAGCGCCUCCUCCGCCCCGUCGGCCGCCGCCAGCGCCGCCUCGUCCGCCCCGUCGCCGCCGCCGCCUCGUCCGCCCCGUCGCCGCCACCUUCUCUGCCCCGCCGCCGUCGCCUCCCCAGCCCCGGAUCUGGCCGCCUCCGCCGCCACGGGCGCCGGGAUGCCCCGCCGCCGCCGUCCUUGCGCCCGGCCGGCUUUCCGGUGGGCCACUCGGGCGGCGGCGAGGCGAAGGGGAGGGGGAAGGCGCGGCGGCGGCCGGCGCGUGUGGGGGCGCUCGCAUCGCCCCUGGGGCUGGAGCGACGCGAGCCUAGAUCAAGUUUUCAGCAGGUCAAAGUCGAUGGCCCGAACCUGGUUUUCAAAAAACAGCCAAUGGGCGAAGAAUAAAACGGGCGCCCACGUUUCUCUCCUACCGUUUCGGAUGCGUGGAGCCAAAGCGAAGCUAGCGUGGUGGCAACUGUAGCACUGGACCCCGUCUCAUGGUAAAUUUUUCUUCGCCAUCACCUGUUGCUGUUGCUGUUGCCACCCCCAACGAGUCUAUCAGGACACAGGAGAGGUAUCAGGAGGUAUGGCCUUUGCUACUUCUGCUAAUCUGAUGAUGUCGGUAUUGCAUUGCAUAUGAUACAGAAGUGAAGUGUGCUGUUUGUAGCAUUGCGUCAUGCAGAAUGGGGGCGUAACAGAACAUGGGAACAUACCCAUUACACGUGUGCGCGACACCCUCAAAGACGGGGUGGUUCGUUGCACGGGUAAAAUAUCUGUAUCUUCCCUGCAAGUGAUGUACGGUUUGUUGUGUGGCAUCCACGGUAAGUAAAGUAAAAUGGCUCGGCAAAAAUCAGAAAAUGACGUGGUAUGGGCACGGACACACACCCCAAAGAAAAAUCACGAUAAAAAGGGCGUGCUGUUCA